Molecule: long non-coding RNA, 1046 nt
Filed under: Monodelphis domestica (gray short-tailed opossum)
Lineage: Eukaryota; Metazoa; Chordata; Mammalia; Didelphimorphia; Didelphidae
Description: lncRNA (ENSMODG00000049012.1)
Source: RNAcentral
AAUCACUUAAUUUCCAUUUGUUUCAGUUUAUUUUUAUUUAUCUUUUUUAUUAAAAAAUUUUAAACCCUUAGAAUCAGUAUUUCCAAGGCAGAAGAGCAGUAAGGUUAAGUGGCUUGCCCAGGAUCACACAGCUAGGAAUCUUAGAAUCUUCCAUUUUAGAAUCAGUGCUUCCAAGGCAGAAGAGUAGUAAGGGCUAGGCAAUGGAGGUUAAGUGACUUGCACAGGGUCACACAGUCAGGAAGUAGCUGAGGUCAGAUUUGAACCUAGGACCUCCAAUCUCUAGGCCUAUCUAUCCACGGCCUCUUUGUUUCAGUUACCUCAGCUGUAAAAUGGGUUAAAUAACAGAACUUUCUUCUCUCCUCAGAAUUGUUGCAAACAUCAAACAAAACAUAACUAAAUAACUAUUUCUUUCUUAUCUCCUUUAUUCUCAUUCACAUUACUAGUCACUGAGUAAGAGGCUACUGUAAUAUUAAUGGGAGUAAAGUCAUGCUUUCCUCCUUCUUCCCUCCUCCUCCAUCCCCCUUUCUUCUUAGCUUAAUGAAGCCAAAAGGAUCUUGUUUCUUUUAGUCAGCCAUGUAGGUGAAGAGGAAAGCAGCCAGGCCACGAGAAAACUGGGCUUCUCAGAGCAUUCAGGAGCUGACAGAAAUGAAGAACUACGUUGUUCUUUUGCUCUGACCUUGGCUUUUCAGCCCCCUGUCCAUCUAGACCAGAGACCCCAGGGCUGCUUCGUCAGAGGCGGCCAUACGCAGCUCUCCUCCUUGACAGAGGCCAUCUGCCCAAUGAUUGUGUUAAGAAGGGACAGCGUCUGCCAAGUCAGAGAACUCCUAGGACCUUGAAUCCUCUUGAAGUUCACAAGAUCAUCAUCAGAUCUGGUCAUUUCCACCAGGGGAUACUUGUUUAUCAGAUAAAAAAAUGCAAAAGCAACCAGGAUCUUCACUUGCCCCAGUCUUCUCUCUUCCCCACCUAGUUGAGAACAUGCUUUACAUGGAGAACAGUAGCAAGAUUGCUACAAUAAAUAUGUGUGUAGCAAAUGACUAUCUUUCUCC